This 411-nucleotide ribosomal RNA is filed under the name bacterium enrichment culture clone ALO1_GLFRUDD03GRERV. RNAcentral describes it as "bacterial SSU rRNA". It matches the Rfam family "Bacterial small subunit ribosomal RNA", at positions 9 to 420 of the family's 1533-position model. The record is from RNAcentral.
GAGUUUGAUCGUGGCUCAGAUUGAACGCUGGCGGCAUGCCUCACACAUGCAAGUCGAACGGCAGCACGGGAGCUUGCUCCUGGUGGCGAGUGGCGAACGGGUGAGUAAUGCAUCGGAACGUAUCCUGGAGUGGGGGAUAACGUAGCGAAAGUUACGCUAAUACCGCAUAUUCUGUGAGCAGGAAAGCGGGGGACCUUCGGGCCUCGCGCUCUUGGAGCGGCCGAUGUCGGAUUAGCUAGUUGGUGAGGUAAAGGCUCACCAAGGCGACGAUCCGUAGCAGGUCUGAGAGGAUGAUCUGCCACACUGGAACUGAGACACGGUCCAGACUCCUACGGGAGGCAGCAGUGGGGAAUUUUGGACAAUGGGGGCAACCCUGAUCCAGCCAUGCCGCGUGAGUGAAGAAGGCCUCGG